Molecule: RNase P RNA, 338 nt
Filed under: Chloroflexota bacterium
Lineage: Bacteria; Bacillati; Chloroflexota
Also listed under: 1 other name
Description: Chloroflexi bacterium (wastewater metagenome) RNase P RNA component class A
Rfam family: Bacterial RNase P class A
About the family: Ribonuclease P (RNase P) is a ubiquitous endoribonuclease, found in archaea, bacteria and eukarya as well as chloroplasts and mitochondria.
Source: RNAcentral
GAUACCGGACGGACGGUCGCUGGCAUUGCCAGAGGAAAGUCCGAGCUGCACAGAGCGCGGGUGCCCGGCGAAAGUCGGGGAAACGCAUGUCGGUGUGCGUUGACAGUCCAGACAGGCGCGUUGGCUCAGGCCGGCGCGAGAGCAACAGAAACAAGACCGCGGGCGCUAGUCGUUCGCGGGUGAAAAGGGCAAUCCUCCCCGCAGCAAUCUCCGACUGGGCCGUUACCAGGUUGCUCGCCGAGGCCCGAGGUGAGAGCAGACGCGAUUCGCGUCCAGCCAUUACGGCUGAGAUAGAUGGCCGUCAGAAACAGAACUCGGCUUACAGUCCGGUAUUGUCA